GCCACGGCCUCGUCCGUCUCGCCCACCGCGGCCGCCUCCAAGCGCCCGCACCUCGCCGGCGACGACGCGCCCUGGCGCGUCGCGGCCGCCGGCUCCGCCGGAAUCCGUCCCGUCCCGCGCAUCCACCACGCCCCCGUCCUCCGCGUCGCCCAGGACGACUCCUCCGCGUACGCCCUCGCCAUCAUGAGGAAUCCGGAUCCGAUAGGGAUGGGGCUGGCCAUGGAGGCCGUAGCUGAGGCUGCUGGCCCGGAGUGCCUCGUGCCCGGCCAGCAGGCGCCUCUGCGGCUGAUGGGACUCAAGGUUUGGCCCCUAGAUAUAGAGAUGAAGUUCUUGGAACCAUUUGGCCGGGAAUUACACUCCAUGAAGAAGGUAUGA
This 375-nucleotide ribosomal RNA is filed under the name Triticum aestivum (bread wheat). RNAcentral's name for it is "partial small subunit ribosomal RNA". Lineage: Eukaryota; Viridiplantae; Streptophyta; Magnoliopsida; Poales; Poaceae. The record is from RNAcentral.